Molecule: non-coding RNA, 79 nt
Organism: Ataeniobius toweri
Lineage: Eukaryota; Metazoa; Chordata; Actinopteri; Cyprinodontiformes; Goodeidae
Source: the annotation of a GenBank genome assembly
GGCUGCAUGAUGGUGUAGUUGGUAGCACUGUUGCCUUCCGGCAGGAAGUGUCCUGGGUUCGACUCCCAGCUGGGGGUCU